UAGUAACGGCGAGUGAACCGGGAAGAGCUCAAAUUUGUAAUCUGGCGUGCUACGUGCGUCCGAGUUGUAAUCUAGAGAGGCGUUUUCCGUGCCGGUCCGUGUCCAAGUCCCUUGGAACAGGGUAUCAAAGAGGGUGACAAUCCCGUACUUGACACGACCACCGGUGCUCUGUGAUACGUCUUCGACGAGUCGAGUUGUUUGGGAAUGCAGCUCAAAACGGGUGGUAAAUUCCAUCUAAAGCUAAAUAUUGGCGAGAGACCGAUAGCGAACAAGUACCGUGAGGGAAAGAUGAAAAGCACUUUGGAAAGAGAGUUAAACAGUAUGUGAAAUUGUUAAAAGGGAAACGAUUGAAGUCAGUCGUGUUCAUUGGAUUCAGCCGGUUCUGCCGGUCUACUUCCUUUGAACGGGUCAACAUCAGUUUUGAUCGGUGGAUAAAUUCGGGAGGAAGGUGGCAUCCUCGGAUGUGUUAUAGCCUCCCGUUGCAUACGCUGGUCGAGACUGAGGAACGCAGCUCGCCUUUAUGGCCGGGGUUCGCCCACGUCCGAGCUUAGGAUGUUGACAUAAUGGCUUUAAACGACCCGUCUUGAAACACGGACC
This 597-nucleotide ribosomal RNA is filed under the name Cryptococcus sp. DBVPG 5459. RNAcentral's name for it is "eukaryotic LSU rRNA". It matches the Rfam family "Eukaryotic large subunit ribosomal RNA", at positions 81 to 667 of the family's 3401-position model. The record is from RNAcentral. Lineage: Eukaryota; Fungi; Basidiomycota; Tremellomycetes; Tremellales; Cryptococcaceae.